GGGCCCGCACAAGCGGUGGAGCAUGUGGUUUAAUUCGAUGAUACGCGAGGAAGCCUUACCAGGGCUUAAAUGCAUAAUGACAGGGGUAGAGAUACCCUUUUUCUUCGGACAUUUUGCAAGGUGCUGCAUGGUUGUCGUCAGCUCGUGCCGUGAGGUGUCAGGUUAAGUCCUAUAACGAGCGCACCCCUGUGGUUAGUUGCCAGCGAGUAAUGUCGGGAACUCUAGCCAGACUGCCGGUGCAAACCGCGAGGAAGGUGGGGAUGACGUCAAAUCAUCACGGCCCCUUACGCCCCUGGGCCACACACGUGCUACAAUGGCAGGUACAGCAAGCAGCCACUCCGCGAGGAGGAGC
This 352-nucleotide ribosomal RNA is filed under the name uncultured bacterium. RNAcentral describes it as "bacterial SSU rRNA". It matches the Rfam family "Bacterial small subunit ribosomal RNA", at positions 917 to 1268 of the family's 1533-position model. The record is from RNAcentral.